GUUUAGCCUCUCAUCAAAAGGACUUCAUUCACCCCGCAAUUACCGUGAAACUCAGAAAGGGAGCCUCCCUUCAUUUAAUCAUACACUAGGCAGUUGCUUCUCCUCGAAUCACCAGACUGAUCAUCAGCCAGUCGUCUUUAUAAUAUAAUAGAGGAAUUUACCGUUAUGUUCUACAAAAGCCCCGUGAACUGACUGACACCUUCGCUUUCAUUUUUCAUACCGAUCACCGUUGACACUAGUAAAAAAUUAAAAAUGUCCAUGGAAUGGAACCACAAACGGAAGCCAACUUACGACUCCCACCUGGUACAGGGCUGGCCGUGUCAACGAAUGAUUACAAACACGGACAUGGGCCUCCCUGCCACUCGAGUGUAUGUAGGUUGAAUCAAGGUGAAAUACACACUUCGUAUUUUCUCACAAAACCUAAGAUAGAUGGUUAGAGAAAACAAGUAUCUCGUGAUUU
Molecule: long non-coding RNA, 460 nt
Organism: Phyllostomus discolor (pale spear-nosed bat)
Lineage: Eukaryota; Metazoa; Chordata; Mammalia; Chiroptera; Phyllostomidae
Exons: 3
Source: RefSeq, a predicted model, not a curated record